This 480-nucleotide ribosomal RNA is filed under the name uncultured anaerobic ammonium-oxidizing bacterium. RNAcentral describes it as "bacterial SSU rRNA". It matches the Rfam family "Bacterial small subunit ribosomal RNA", at positions 363 to 833 of the family's 1533-position model. The record is from RNAcentral.
UUUUCGCAAUGCCCGAAAGGGUGACGAAGCGACGCCGCGUGGGUGAGGAAGGCCCUCGGGUUGUAAAGCCCUGUCAGGAGUUAAGAAAUGUAGGUACGCUAAUAUCGUAUCUAUUUGACAAAGGCUCCAAAGGAAGCCACGGCUAACUCUGUGCCAGCAGCCGCGGUAAUACAGAGGUGGCAAGCGUUGUUCGGAAUUAUUGGGCGUAAAGAGCACGUAGGUGGAUUUGUAAGUCAGAUGUGAAAGCCUUCUGUUCAACGGGAGAAUUGCAUCUGAAACUACAAACCUUGAGUAUAGGAGGGGAGAAUGGAACUUCUGGUGGAGCGGUGAAAUGCGUAGAUAUCAGAAGGAACGCCGGCGGCGAAAGCGAUUCUCUGGCCUAUUACUGACACUCAGUGUGCGAAAGCUAGGGGAGCAAACGGGAUUAGAUACCCCGGUAGUCCUAGCCGUAAACGAUGGGCACUAAGUAGAGGGGUUUUA